Molecule: ribosomal RNA, 254 nt
Filed under: uncultured bacterium
Lineage: Bacteria
Description: partial 16S ribosomal RNA
Rfam family: Bacterial small subunit ribosomal RNA
Source: RNAcentral
UACGGGGGGGGGUAAGCGUUGUUCGGAAUUACUGGGCGUAAAGGGCGCGUAGGCGGCCUUCUAAGUCGAACGUGAAAUCCCUGGGCUCAACCCAGGAACUGCGUCCGAUACUGGGAGGCUUGAAUCCGGGAGAGGGAUGUGGAAUUCCAGGUGUAGCGGUGAAAUGCGUAGAUAUCAGGAGGAACACCCGAGGCGAAGGCGGCUCUCUGGGUCGUACCUGACGCUGAGGCGCGAAAGCGUGGGGAGCGAACGGG